UACGGAGGGUGCAAGCAUUGAUCGGAAUUACUGGGCGUAAAGCGUGCGCAGGCGGUGAGUUAAGUCUGCUGUGAAAGCCCCGGGCUCAACCUGGGAAUGGCAUUGGAAACUGGCUCGCUGGAGUAUGGCAGAGGGGGGUGGAAUUCCGCGUGUAGCAGUGAAAUGCGUAGAGAUGCGGAGGAACACCGAUGGCGAAGGCAGCCCCCUGGGCCAAUACUGACGCUCAGGCACGAAAGCGUGGGGAGCAAACAGG
Molecule: ribosomal RNA, 253 nt
Filed under: uncultured bacterium
Lineage: Bacteria
Description: partial 16S ribosomal RNA
Rfam family: Bacterial small subunit ribosomal RNA
Source: RNAcentral